GGCCUCGAAGGCUAGAAUACGAAAGCUCGAUAAACACACGAGUCAGCGGAAGCAACAAUAUCUGAGUACAAACAUAAAACAUGGGGUGCCUUAGAGAAGGCUAGCACAAAAGAUACAACGAUCGAACGAGGCGAGGCCUCCUGCCUGGGAACCUCCUAACUACUCCUGAUCAUCAGCGGCCUCCACGUAGUAGUAGGCACCGUCGGGGUAGCAGUCGUCGGCGGCGGGGACCUCCAUCUC
RNAcentral lists this long non-coding RNA (240 nucleotides) under Hordeum vulgare. RNAcentral's name for it is "long non-coding RNA (HVUL_LNC004150)". The record is from RNAcentral. Lineage: Eukaryota; Viridiplantae; Streptophyta; Magnoliopsida; Poales; Poaceae.